GACGAACGCUGGCGGCGUGCUUAACACAUGCAAGUCGAACGGAAAGGCGCUGCUUUUGUGGGGUGCUCGAGUGGCGAACGGGUGAGUAACACGUGAGUAACCUGCCCUUGACUUUGGGAUAACUUCAGGAAAAUGGGGCUCAUACCGGAGAGGAGAUCCUGCUGCAUGUGGGGGGUUGGAGAGUUUCGGCGGUUGGGGAUGGACUAGCGGCUUAUCAGCUUCAUGGUGGGGUAGUGGCUUACCCGGGCUUUGACGGGUAGCCGGCCUGGGAGAGUGACCGGCCACAUUGGUACUGAGAUACGGCGCAGACUGCUACGGGAGGCAGCAGUCGGGAGUAUGGCACAAUGGGCGGACGCCUGAGGUAGCAACGUCGCGUGCGGGAUGACGGCUUUCGGGUGGUAAACCGCUGUCGCCUUUGACGAAGAGUGAGUGACGGUAAUGGGUAAAGAAGCAACGGCUAACUACGUG
Molecule: ribosomal RNA, 468 nt
Filed under: uncultured bacterium
Lineage: Bacteria
Description: partial 16S ribosomal RNA
Rfam family: Bacterial small subunit ribosomal RNA
Source: RNAcentral